UCGACAGCUCAAGAAGAAGAAGAUACAGAAAAAUCAGAGAACAGUGAGGAAGAUGAGGAUUUGGCCCUAAUCACUAAAAAAUUUAGAUGCUUCAUGAGGAGAAGGUGAUAAGGUACCAAGAAAAAACCACCAGCUAAGGAAGAGCUGAGUAAAGAAAAAGAAAAAGAACAGUCCAUCAUUUGUUAUGAGUGCAAGAAGUCAGAGCACUU
Molecule: long non-coding RNA, 209 nt
Filed under: Elaeis guineensis (African oil palm)
Lineage: Eukaryota; Viridiplantae; Streptophyta; Magnoliopsida; Arecales; Arecaceae
Description: long non-coding RNA (EGUI_LNC060196)
Source: RNAcentral